GACGAACGCUGGCGGCGUGCUUAACGCAUGCAAGUCGAACGGAAAGGCCCUGCUUUUGUGGGGUGCUCGAGUGGCGAACGGGUGAGUAACACGUGAGUAACCUGCCCUUGACUUUGGGAUAACUUCAGGAAACUGGGGCUAAUACCGGAUAGGAGCUCCUGCUGCAUGGUGGGGGUUGGAAAGUUUCGGCGGUUGGGGAUGGACUCGCGGCUUAUCAGCUUGUUGGUGGGGUAGUGGCUUACCAAGGCUUUGACGGGUAGCCGGCCUGAGAGGGUGACCGGCCACAUUGGGACUGAGAUACGGCCCAGACUCCUACGGGAGGCAGCAGUGGGGAAUAUUGCACAAUGGGCGGAAGCCUGAUGCAGCAACGCCGCGUGCGGGAUGCCGGCCUUCGGGUUGUAAACCGCUUUCGCCUGUGACGAAGCGUGAGUGACGGUAAUGGGUAAAGAAGCACCGGCUAACUACGUG
RNAcentral lists this ribosomal RNA (468 nucleotides) under uncultured bacterium. Its description in RNAcentral is "partial 16S ribosomal RNA". It matches the Rfam family "Bacterial small subunit ribosomal RNA", at positions 28 to 507 of the family's 1533-position model. The record is from RNAcentral.